AUUUCUGAAUAUUACUAAUUUUGUGAUGCUCUUUCAAGCUGUGGUGAAAUUUUUGUCUAGACUUGUCUAUAUCAAAAUUUUGUUUAUUAGGGAAUAGGUCCAUUACAUGGGGACUAACUGUGUAACACUCAUUUUAUUAAGCCUCAAUUUCUCAGUCAAAAAAUGUUAUACAAUUGUGGGAAUACCAAGAUCACCAGGCCAGAAAGCUUUCCUUGCAUGAUAUCCACAUAACCCACAAACACUAUAAUAUGCAGUAAAUUAAAAAACUCAUGAUCAGGUGCUGUCGAAGAAUGUGUUCGAACUAGUUUACAAGCUCCACGAGGGUACAAUCCCACUGACUGAGGUGUCUUUAAGUAGCAAUGUUCUAAAACCCUG
Molecule: non-coding RNA, 375 nt
Organism: Paramuricea clavata
Lineage: Eukaryota; Metazoa; Cnidaria; Anthozoa; Malacalcyonacea; Plexauridae
Source: the annotation of a GenBank genome assembly